GACUUUUGGUCUUCUUUUGAUUUUUUUUAUUUUUCUUCUCCGGAGACUGAGUUUUUACUUGUCUCCUUCCUUUUUUUGAGAGUUUAAUUUUUUUAUUUUCCUCAUAUUUUCAAGUUUCAACAAUGUAUCCCGAAAUCAACGGAAACCGUAUAAUCAUGCAUUAAAUUCAAUUUAGUAUCUUAACUAACUCUGAAACUCGACCGAGUUACAUG
RNAcentral lists this long non-coding RNA (212 nucleotides) under Linum usitatissimum (flax). Its description in RNAcentral is "long non-coding RNA (LUSI_LNC004772)". Lineage: Eukaryota; Viridiplantae; Streptophyta; Magnoliopsida; Malpighiales; Linaceae. The record is from RNAcentral.